This 934-nucleotide ribosomal RNA is filed under the name Distoseptispora aquatica. RNAcentral's name for it is "partial large subunit ribosomal RNA". It matches the Rfam family "Eukaryotic large subunit ribosomal RNA", at positions 87 to 1049 of the family's 3401-position model. The record is from RNAcentral. Lineage: Eukaryota; Fungi; Ascomycota; Sordariomycetes; Distoseptisporaceae.
CGGCGAGUGAAGCGGCAACAGCUCAGAUUUGAAAUCUGGCCCUCACGGGGUCCGAGUUGUAAUCUGUAGAGGAUGCUUUUGGCGACGCGCCUUCCGAGUCCCCUGGAACGGGGCGCCAGAGAGGGUGAGAGCCCCGUAUGGUUGGACGCCGAACCUCUGUAAAGCUCCUUCGACGAGUCGAGUAGUUUGGGAAUGCUGCUCAAAAUGGGAGGUAAAUUUCUUCUAAAGCUAAAUACCGGCCAGAGACCGAUAGCGCACAAGUAGAGUGAUCGAAAGAUGAAAAGCACUUUGAAAAGAGGGUUAAAUAGCACGUGAAAUUGCUGAAAGGGAAGCGCUUGUGACCAGACUUGCGCCCGGUUGAUCAUCCAGCGUUCUCGCUGGUGCACUCUGCCGGGCUCAGGCCAGCAUCGGCUCUCCCAGGGGGAUAAAGGUCGCGGGAACGUAGCUCUCUCCGGGGAGUGUUAUAGCCCGUGGCGGAAUGCCCUUAGGGGGGGCCGAGGCCCGCGUUCGCAAGGAUGCUGGCGUAAUGGUCACCAGCGACCCGUCUUGAAACACGGACCAAGGAGUCAAGCAUUAGGGCGAGUCUUUGGGUGCAAAACCCGCAGGCGCAAUGAAAGUGAACGGAGGUGAGAGCUUCGGCGCAUCAUCGACCGAUCCUGAUGUUCUCGGAUGGAUUUGAGUAAGAGCCUUACCGCUUGGACCCGAAAGAUGGUGAACUAUGCCUGAAUAGGGUGAAGCCAGAGGAAACUCUGGUGGAGGCUCGCAGCGGUUCUGACGUGCAAAUCGAUCGUCAAAUUUGGGCAUGGGGGCGAAAGACUAAUCGAACCAUCUAGUAGCUGGUUACCGCCGAAGUUUCCCUCAGGAUAGCAGUGUUGUCUUCAGUUUUAUGAGGUAAAGCGAAUGAUUAGGGACUCGGGGGCGCUAUUUAGCCUUC